This 73-nucleotide transfer RNA is filed under the name Usnea mutabilis. RNAcentral describes it as "tRNA-Ala". It matches the Rfam family "tRNA". Rfam says of the family: Transfer RNA (tRNA) molecules are approximately 80 nucleotides in length. Lineage: Eukaryota; Fungi; Ascomycota; Lecanoromycetes; Lecanorales; Parmeliaceae. The record is from RNAcentral.
GGGGGCGUAGUUUAAAUAGGUAAAACGUCUAUCUUGCACAUAGUUAACGCAGGUUCGAACCCUACCGCCUCCA